Molecule: long non-coding RNA, 82 nt
Organism: Amblyraja radiata (thorny skate)
Lineage: Eukaryota; Metazoa; Chordata; Chondrichthyes; Rajiformes; Rajidae
Exons: 3
Source: RefSeq, a predicted model, not a curated record
UUACCAGAUUUUCAAAGUGAUAAAAGCGCCAUGGUCAAGAAUCUUGUCUCAUCUCGAUUUCCAAAUCCUUCAGAAGGCAGGU